AAUGCACCAAUUUGUAGGUCGUUCUGGAUAAGAGCGUCUGCUAAAUUACGUAAA
Salmo salar (Atlantic salmon) is the source of this 54-nucleotide non-coding RNA. The record is from Rfam. NCBI's taxonomy places the organism in Eukaryota, Metazoa, Chordata, Actinopteri, Salmoniformes, Salmonidae.